RNAcentral lists this long non-coding RNA (240 nucleotides) under Zonotrichia albicollis (white-throated sparrow). RNAcentral's name for it is "lncRNA (ENSZALG00000003104.1)". The record is from RNAcentral. Lineage: Eukaryota; Metazoa; Chordata; Aves; Passeriformes; Passerellidae.
UAUUUUCUGGCAGGUUAGCCAUCAAGUCUCGUCAUGAAAAUGACUAUUAUGGUAUGAUACCAGCCCUGCAAUGUGGAAUGCAAAAAUGCCUUUUACUGAGACUGUCCCAUUUGUUUUUAAGGGCCUGUGCGCCAAGGGGAUCUCCAGGAAACUGUUUAAUACUGCAAUCUUAAGGGUUCAGGCUGUCUUUGCUUGAAGAAAACUUCCGCAGAAGUCACUAGCAUUAAUCUUGUAAGGUAG